AGUGAACGCUGGCGGCAGGCCUAACACAUGCAAGUCGAGCGGCAGCGCGGGGGCAACCCUGGCGGCGAGCGGCGGACGGGUGAGGAAUUCGUCGGAAUCUUCCUUUUUGUGGGGGAUAACGUAGGGAAACUUACGCUAAUACCGCAUACGUCCUACGGGAGAAAGUGGGGGACCGCAAGGCCUCACGCAGAAAGAUGAGCCGACGACCGAUUAGCUAGUUGGUGGGGUAAAGGCCCACCAAGGCGACGAUCGGUAGCUGGUCUGAGAGGAUGAUCAGCCACACUGGGACUGAGACACGGCCCAGACUCCUACGGGAGGCAGCAGUGGGGAAUAUUGGACAAUGGGCGCAAGCCUGAUCCAGCCAUGCCGCGUGUGUGAAGAAGGCCUUCGGGUGGUAAAGCACUUUUGUCCGGAAAGAAAUCCCUGGAGCUAAUACCUGCGGGGGAUGACGGUACCGGAAGAAUAAGCACCGGCUAACUUCGUG
This 484-nucleotide ribosomal RNA is filed under the name uncultured bacterium. RNAcentral describes it as "partial 16S ribosomal RNA". It matches the Rfam family "Bacterial small subunit ribosomal RNA", at positions 29 to 507 of the family's 1533-position model. The record is from RNAcentral.